This 391-nucleotide unclassified non-coding RNA is filed under the name soil metagenome. Its description in RNAcentral is "partial contains 5.8S ribosomal RNA, internal transcribed spacer 2, and large subunit ribosomal RNA". The stretch from base 1 to 122 matches the Rfam family "5.8S ribosomal RNA", at positions 35 to 154 of the family's 154-position model. The record is from RNAcentral.
GAUGAAGAACGUAGUGAAAUGCGAUACUUGGUGUGAAUUGCAGAAUCCCGUGAACCAUCGAGUCUUUGAACGCAAGUUGCGCCCGAAGCCAUUAGGCCGAGGGCACGCCUGCCUGGGCGUCACACGUCGUUGCCCCCCCAUCUACUCCUUCGGGAUUGCGGGGGGCGGAUGAUGGACUCUCGUGCGCCUCGUCGCGCGGUUGGCCUAAAUGCCAAGUCCUCGGCGACGCACGCCACGACAAUCGGUGGUUGCGAAACCUCGGUUGCCUGUCGUGUGCGGUCGUCGCGCAUCGAGGGCUCGAAAAAAUUGCCGGGCUUCGGCUCGACUUUCAACGCGACCCCAGGUCAGGCGGGGUUACCCGCUGAAUUUAAGCAUAUCAAUAAGCGGAGGA